RNAcentral lists this ribosomal RNA (667 nucleotides) under uncultured Clostridium sp. Its description in RNAcentral is "bacterial SSU rRNA". It matches the Rfam family "Bacterial small subunit ribosomal RNA", at positions 28 to 723 of the family's 1533-position model. The record is from RNAcentral. Lineage: Bacteria; Bacillati; Bacillota; Clostridia; Eubacteriales; Clostridiaceae.
GAUGAACGCUGGCGGCGUGCCUAACACAUGCAAGUCGAGCGAUCUUCUUCGGAAGAGAGCGGCGGACGGGUGAGUAACGCGUGGGUAACCUGCCCUGUACACACGGAUAACAUACCGAAAGGUAUGCUAAUACGGGAUAACAUAAGAAAGUCGCAUGGCUUUCUUAUCAAAGUUUUUGCGGUACAGGAUGGACCCGCGUCUGAUUAGCUAGUUGGUAAGGUAACGGCUUACCAAGGCGACGAUCAGUAGCCGACCUGAGAGGGUGAUCGGCCACAUUGGAACUGAGACACGGUCCAAACUCCUACGGGAGGCAGCAGUGGGGAAUAUUGCACAAUGGGCGAAAGCCUGAUGCAGCAACGCCGCGUGAGCGAUGAAGGCCUUCGGGUCGUAAAGCUCUGUCCUCAAGGAAGAUAAUGACGGUACUUGAGGAGGAAGCCCCGGCUAACUACGUGCCAGCAGCCGCGGUAAUACGUAGGGGGCUAGCGUUAUCCGGAAUUACUGGGCGUAAAGGGUGCGUAGGCGGUCUUUCAAGUCAGAAGUGAAAGGCUACGGCUCAACCGUAGUAAGCUUUUGAAACUGUAAGACUUGAGUGCAGGAGAGGAGAGUGGAAUUCCUAGUGUAGCGGUGAAAUGCGUAGAUAUUAGGAGGAACACCAGUUGCGAAGGCG